Molecule: ribosomal RNA, 464 nt
Filed under: uncultured bacterium
Lineage: Bacteria
Description: partial 16S ribosomal RNA
Rfam family: Bacterial small subunit ribosomal RNA
Source: RNAcentral
CUACGGGUCGCUGCAGUGGGGAAUAUUGUACAAUGGGCGCAAGCCUGAUGCAGCCAUGCCGCGUGUAUGAAGAAGGCCUUCGGGUUGUAAAGUACUCUCAGCGGGGAGGAAGGGAGUAAAGUUAAUACCUUUGCUCAUUGACGUUACCCGCAGAAGAAGCACCGGCUAACUCCGUGCCAGCAGCCGCGGUAAUACGGAGGGUGCAAGCGUUAAUCGGAAUUACUGGGCGUAAAGCGCACGCAGGCGGUUUGUUAAGUCAGAUGUGAAAUCCCCGGGCUCAACCUGGGAACUGCAUCUGAUACUGGCAAGUUUGAGUCUCGUAGAGGGGGGUAGAAUUCCAGGUGUAGCGGUGAAAUGCGUAGAGAUCUGGAGGAAUACCGGUGGCGAAGGCGGCCCCCUGGACGAAGACUGACGCUCAGGUGCGAAAGCGUGGGGAGCAAACAGGAUUAGAUACCCGAGUAGUC